This 298-nucleotide unclassified non-coding RNA is filed under the name plant metagenome. Its description in RNAcentral is "partial contains small subunit ribosomal RNA, internal transcribed spacer 1, and 5.8S ribosomal RNA". The record is from RNAcentral.
UUUCCGUAGGUGAACCCGCGGAAGGAUCAUUAUUGAAUGAACUUGGCGUGGUUGUCGCUGGCCCUCUCGGGGGUAUGUGCACGCCCGUCAUCUUUAUCUUUCCACCUGUGCACACUUUGUAGACCUGAAUAGUAUUUUCUGAGGCAACUCAGUCGGGAGGAUUGCUGGUAUUUAUCAGCUCUCCUUGCAUUAUUCAAGCCUAUGUUUUUCAUAUACCCCAAAAAUGUAACAGAAUGUAUCAUUGGGCCUUGUGCCUAUAAACUAUAUACAACUUUCAGCAACGGAUCUCUUGGCUCUC